This 415-nucleotide small RNA is filed under the name Histoplasma capsulatum. RNAcentral describes it as "hypothetical RNA". The record is from RNAcentral. RNAcentral also lists the same sequence under 1 other name. Lineage: Eukaryota; Fungi; Ascomycota; Eurotiomycetes; Onygenales; Ajellomycetaceae.
GGUGCGGGGGAGUCAAACUCAUGUUGCUGGUAUGGCUGAGUGAGGACAUUGCCUAGCAUAGCAAUCAAGUUUUCAUAGGUAAAAUCCAUCCAUUCCUCAACGCCCUCCAAAUCUUCCCAGUCUCUAUUAAACGAAUUAGUCCCUUUUUUGGCAUUGGUUCGAUCCAAACUGGGGUCAACGACUGAAAGAUAUUCAAGCAGGGUAGACAUGACCGCGGAUUGGAAAGGGUAAUAAUUAUUCUUCAAAUAGAGUCGUUUGGGGUAAAAGGGCAAAAUCAAGCAAUAAUUGAAGCUUAAAUCGAUCAGAACAAGACGAGGACCGGUAUAUUUAUUUCUCCAAGGAGGUUAAGCACUUAGGAAAGAUGCCCGAGAACUAUGGAAAAAGCCUUCACCUCAUGAAAACAGUCUAUUGCUGU